Molecule: ribosomal RNA, 279 nt
Filed under: uncultured bacterium
Lineage: Bacteria
Description: partial 16S ribosomal RNA
Rfam family: Bacterial small subunit ribosomal RNA
Source: RNAcentral
UGCCAGCAGCCGCGGUAAUACGGAGGGGGCAAGCGUUACUCGGAAUCACUGGGCGUAAAGCGCGCGUAGGCGGUCUAUAAAGUUGGGAGUGAAAUCCCGGAGCUCAACUCCGGAACUGCUCUCAAAACUCAUAGACUAGAGUUAGGUAGAGGAUAGUGGAAUUCCUAGUGUAGAGGUGAAAUUCGUAGAUAUUAGGAGGAACACCAGUGGCGAAGGCGACUGUCUGGGCCUAUACUGACGCUAAGGCGCGAAAGCGUGGGGAGCAAACAGGAUUAGAUA